UGUAGUGUGGCAUAGUGGUUUGAGUGUUGGACUAUGAUUCUGUAUACCAGGGAUCAAUUCCCAGCUUGGCCA
Molecule: transfer RNA, 72 nt
Filed under: Phrynosoma platyrhinos (Desert horned lizard)
Lineage: Eukaryota; Metazoa; Chordata; Lepidosauria; Squamata; Phrynosomatidae
Description: tRNA-OTHER
Source: RNAcentral